CAAGUACCACAAUGCCCUGCAUUUUUACCUGAUUCCAGGAGCUUGAAGUCAGAUCCUCACUCUUUCCAGCAACGGUGUCUUGUAACAGCGCUGAGAGUUUUCUCUUCAGUGUCAAAAAAAGAAAACAAAAUGAAAGCCCUUUCCCAGUGAAAGAAGACACCACCCUGGGUCUGGGAGACUGAACUCCGCCGCAGCUCUCAUUCCAGAGCUGAGGACUCCGGGGCUGGCUACAAAAGCGCCCAUUUGCAGGUGUGUUUGGGGGUUGGGAAGAGGUGUGCAUAUAGCUUGGGUAACUGCUGCGCCUUUGUCUAGUGACCCCGGUAAGAAGAAAAAGGGGGCAGCGAAGAGACGCGUGCUCAGGUCCGCGUCGCUACGGACCAACGAACUGUGCAGAAGCGCGACCCUGGCUGGCGGCUCGAGUUCAAGAGCUACGCUGCGCUGCGCUGCUCGUGGCCCCGAUCCCCUCGAGGGUGCUGUAAGAGAACCCGCUACCCUCGGAGUGGAGGACAUUCAGCUGCACCACUGAACCUAUAGCCAAGGCAAGCACUUCGAGCUACUUGACCGCCCUUUAAGAGUUUGCUGACACACGCCG
Mastomys coucha (southern multimammate mouse) is the source of this 592-nucleotide long non-coding RNA. RefSeq lists it as uncharacterized. NCBI's taxonomy places the organism in Eukaryota, Metazoa, Chordata, Mammalia, Rodentia, Muridae. The transcript is spliced from 2 exons. The record is from RefSeq and is a predicted model, not a curated record.